RNAcentral lists this unclassified non-coding RNA (669 nucleotides) under Leishmania donovani. Its description in RNAcentral is "gene:unknown". The record is from RNAcentral. Lineage: Eukaryota; Euglenozoa; Kinetoplastea; Trypanosomatida; Trypanosomatidae.
GUGCCCUCAUCUUUGACCUCUAAAGCAAGUGCGCCUGCUCCCCCUCUCCCCUUGUGCUCAUCCCCUCAUCCUUUCCGUUUGGAUUUCGCGUGUGUGUGUGUGUGUUGGAGGUGCGUGUGCGUUUUGGCGCUUUUGUUUCGCGCGUGCCCACCCCCUAACUGGCUGUGUGUUCCGGUUCCUCGAUCAUCGCCGCAGCGCGUCGUCUCUCUCUCUCUCUUUCUCGUCUCUUGUUUGCUGUCCUUGACUCCUUUUUUCAUCUUCCUCGCCCCUUCCACGCCUUCUUCUUGUCGAGUUCAGCGCCAGAUCAUUGGGGCCCUUCGUUUCCCAAGUUUUCAGCAAGUACUGUUGUGAAGGGUGACAAAAGGCGAACGACGGAAACAGCUGAACGGGGUCGUGUUAGACUCAAACAAAAAGGCAGAGAGAGAACAAGAGACAGAGCACCGCCGCGCCUCAGAGGCAACGGGUCAAAAGGGGAACCAGUAAACAACACACAGCGGAAUGCCAGGUGCGCACUUACGUGCUAAGUCGCGUUGGUAGUCUCCGGUGUGUGCUUGUGUGAUUCUCAGCCGCCCGCUUCUCUCUCCCCUCCCUCGCGCACGUUCUUUCUUGGCUUCUCUACCUCCCUCCUCUCUUUCUCCUUUUGUUUCGGCUUUCUUUUCCUUAUUGUAG